Molecule: ribosomal RNA, 403 nt
Filed under: uncultured bacterium
Lineage: Bacteria
Description: bacterial SSU rRNA
Rfam family: Bacterial small subunit ribosomal RNA
Source: RNAcentral
UAGGGAAUAUUGCAAAAUGGGCGAAAGCCCGAUGCAGCAACGCCGCGUGGGCGAUGAAGGCCUUCGGGUCGUAAAGCCCUUUUUGAGGGGAUGAGGAAGGACAGUACCCUCAGAAUAAGCCUCGGCUAACUACGUGCCAGCAGCCGCGGUAAAACGUAGGAGGCGAGCGUUAUCCGGAUUUACUGGGCGUAAAGCGCGUGCAGGCGGAUUGAAGAGUUGGAUGUGAAAGCUCCCGGCUUAACUGGGAGAGGUCGUUCAAUACUUCCAGUCUUGAGUGCAGUAGAGGGAAGUGGAAUUCCGGGUGUAGUGGUUAAAUGCGUAGAUAUCCGGAGGAACACCAGUGGCGAAAGCGGCUUCCUGGACUGUAACUGACGCUCAGACGCGAAAGCUAGGGUAGCAAACG